AACAUGACAUUGUAACCAUAAAGCUACCAUUUCUUGUCUGUAAACUCUACUCCUGUCUCUAGUAGGUAUUUAUAUAUUCUCUUGUUUGAUGUAUAAUUGGUCAAAAACCCCUGAGGAAGAAAUUAUAAUAGCAAUAAUUAUUAUAAUUAUACUUUUAAUAAUAAUGAAUUAUUAUGAACAAUAAUAAAAUAAAUUCUAUUUUAAUAAAUAUAACAUUUAUUAAAUGUUUCAACAUGCCAGGCAUGGUGCUCAUUGUCUUAUAACCAGCAUCUCAUUUGCUCCCUCCAAGAGUCCCGUAAAAUAAAUACUAUUACUACCCCAUUUUACAGAUGAGUAAGGGGAGACCUGGGACGCCAGCUCAGAUCUGCUGCUCCAGAGCCUACAAGCUUUCCCACUGCACCAUCCAGCCUCCCUUCUCAGCCCUGCUUCUUUGCACUGGUCUCCUGCCAGGGGAAGCAAGGGCCAAGGGGCUGAGGAACCAUGACCAGUAGACAUGUGGGCAGCUGGAUGGCCAACGUCCAGAAUGCAAUGCCCCCUGGCAUGCCCAGCAGACCGGAAUUCUGGGGCUGGCUGGCUUCCCGCUCCUCCCUGCCAAUCAGUGCAGACCUGUGGUCAUUUCCUCGUUAGCACAACGAAAUACUCAGGAUGACUCUGAGCUCUGGAUUAGCCACUCAAACAAUUUUAUUUACUUUGGGGGCCGAAACAGAGGACGCAGGACGGAAAAAGAUUAGCAGGAAGUGCAGAGUUCCCAUAUAAUCUCUCCUCCCCCUCCCCCACUUUCUUUCCCCUUUUAGUAACACCUUCAUUUGACUUUGGAUGUUUUGUGUCUUCAGGUGAGUGCUUAAGUUGUUCAGCGGAUUUGCAACUCUUCCAAUAAGAGUAAGAGGCCUCCCAAGGACACAGCUCUACCAGUCCAGCCGCCCCUCCAUCUUGCCUCUCUGCCCCUCCAUCCUUCCCCGCUCUCUGGCACGUGGACCUGCUCAGACCCACCACACUGGGCUUCACAACCUUCUCCAGGCAGAGAAGUGAUUCCAUGGCUUUUAUAACCAGGUACAAUUCAGGUCUUGCUGAGUGUACACAACCAUCUUGUUUACGUCAAGCCAAAUCGUUUAGAAUGUCAAAAUCAUUUGUAAGUAAAAU
Molecule: long non-coding RNA, 1140 nt
Organism: Pipistrellus kuhlii (Kuhl's pipistrelle)
Lineage: Eukaryota; Metazoa; Chordata; Mammalia; Chiroptera; Vespertilionidae
Exons: 2
Source: RefSeq, a predicted model, not a curated record